RNAcentral lists this ribosomal RNA (603 nucleotides) under Enterobacter cloacae. RNAcentral's name for it is "bacterial SSU rRNA". It matches the Rfam family "Bacterial small subunit ribosomal RNA", at positions 107 to 706 of the family's 1533-position model. Lineage: Bacteria; Pseudomonadati; Pseudomonadota; Gammaproteobacteria; Enterobacterales; Enterobacteriaceae. The record is from RNAcentral.
UGAGUAAUGUCUGGGAAACUGCCUGAUGGAAGGGGAUAACUACUGGAAACGGUAGCUAAUACCGCAUAACGUCGCAAGACCAAAGAGGGGGACCUUCGGGCCUCUUGCCAUCGGAUGUGCCCAGAUGGGAUUAGCUAGUAGGUGGGGUAACGGCUCACCUAGGCGACGAUCCCUAGCUGGUCUGAGAGGAUGACCAGCCACACUGGAACUGAGACACGGUCCAGACUCCUACGGGAGGCAGCAGUGGGGAAUAUUGCACAAUGGGCGCAAGCCUGAUGCAGCCAUGCCGCGUGUAUGAAGAAGGCCUUCGGGUUGUAAAGUACUUUCAGCGGGGAGGAAGGCGAUAAGGUUAAUAACCUUGUCGAUUGACGUUACCCGCAGAAGAAGCACCGGCUAACUCCGUGCCAGCAGCCGCGGUAAUACGGAGGGUGCAAGCGUUAAUCGGAAUUACUGGGCGUAAAGCGCACGCAGGCGGUCUGUCAAGUCGGAUGUGAAAUCCCCGGGCUCAACCUGGGAACUGCAUUCGAAACUGGCAGGCUAGAGUCUUGUAGAGGGGGGUAGAAUUCCAGGUGUAUCGGUGAAAUGCGUAGAGAUCUGGAGGAA